RNAcentral lists this ribosomal RNA (244 nucleotides) under uncultured bacterium. Its description in RNAcentral is "partial 16S ribosomal RNA". It matches the Rfam family "Bacterial small subunit ribosomal RNA", at positions 335 to 596 of the family's 1533-position model. The record is from RNAcentral.
ACCCCUACGGGACGCAGCAGUGGGGAAUAUUGCACAAUGGGGGAAACCCUGAUGCAGCGACGCCGCGUGAGUGAAGAAGUAUUUCGGUAUGUAAAGCUCUAUCAGCAGGGAAGAAAAUGACGGUACCUGACUAAGAAGCCCCGGCUAACUACGUGCCAGCAGCCGCGGUAAUACGUAGGGGGCGAGCGUUAUCCGGAUUCACUGGGUGUAAAGGGAGCGUAGACGGCCAAGCAAGCCAGGGGUG